GACGGAGCACGUGAAAUUCCGUCGGAAUCUGGGAGGACCAUCUCCUAAGGCUAAAUACUCUCUAGUGACCGAUAGUGAACCAGUACCGUGAGGGAAAGGUGAAAAGCACCCCGGAAGGAGAGUGAAAUAGAACCUGAAACCGUGUGCUUACAAGUAGUCAGAGCCCGUUAAUGGGUGAUGGCGUGCCUUUUGUAGAAUGAACCGGCGAGUUACGAUUUGAUGCAAGGUUAAGCAGUAAAUGUGGAGCCGUAGCGAAAGCGAGUCUGAAUAGGGCGUUUAGUAUUUGGUCGUAGACCCGAAACCAGGUGAUCUACCCUUGGUCAGGUUGAAGUUCAGGUAACACUGAAUGGAGGACCGAACCGACUUACGUUGAAAAGUGAGCGGAUGAACUGAGGGUAGCGGAGAAAUUCCAAUCGAACCUGGAGAUAGCUGGUUCUCUCCGAAAUAGCUUUAGGGCUAGCCUCAAGUGAUGAUUAUUGGAGGUAGAGCACUGUUUGGACGAGGGGCCCCUCUCGGGUUACCGAAUUCAGACAAACUCCGAAUGCCAAUUAAUUUAACUUGGGAGUCAGAACAUGGGUGAUAAGGUCCGUGUUCGAAAGGGAAACAGCCCAGACCACCAGCUAAGGUCCCAAAAUAUAUGUUAAGUGGAAAAGGAUGUGGCGUUGCCCAGACAACUAGGAUGUUGGCUU
This 689-nucleotide ribosomal RNA is filed under the name Staphylococcus aureus. RNAcentral's name for it is "partial 23S ribosomal RNA". It matches the Rfam family "Bacterial large subunit ribosomal RNA", at positions 416 to 1107 of the family's 2925-position model. The record is from RNAcentral. Lineage: Bacteria; Bacillati; Bacillota; Bacilli; Caryophanales; Staphylococcaceae.